AGUUUUCUGAGUACAGGUCUUUUGCCUCCUUUGUAGGUUUAUUCCUAGAGAUGUACAGCAAAGGGAAGUCUACCCAACAUUCUGCAAAAACCAGCUCCCCAGCAGCCUGUGCUCUCUUGGCUGUGACAGUCAGAGCCCUGGUUUGGGUGUAAGUGAUAGCACCUGGUGCUGGUGCGUGGUGAGCACCCUAAAAUGCAUCUUUAUCAUGCCACUUUUCUACUCCAAAACAUUCAGUGACUUCCUAUUGCCUUUUUGUUAUUUUAAACAAAGUUUAAAGAAAAUAGUACAUUUAUCUAUCACUGAAUCUUAUUUAUUGAUGAAUAUUACUUCUCUCCUAGGUCUUACUAAAGACAUGUGGUAUCCUUUUAAUAUUAUUAUUAACCUGAACAACUUUACAGGAAAGAAGGUAGUAAACAGUAAACUAUAUUUAUGUCACUCCAAACCUUUGAACUAUGAAAUCACUAAAUGUUAGCACUGAGAAUGGCCUUGAAAUCAGUUGAGAUCAACUCCUUCAUUUCAUAGGUGAGGAAACUGAGAACAAGCAGAUAAAUUGCUCAGAUAUGGAUACCCAGCCAAGGGAAGGCCCUGUCACAACUAGAACUCAGCUCUUCUAUUCUCUCUUUCUUUCCACUACACUACAUUAUACGUAUAUUUACAUAUAUACAUUAUACAUAUAUUUCUACAUGGUUUAAUCAGUAUACAUGCUAUUUUGUGUCUCUUCUAUUUAUAUUACUCCAGGUACACAUUUCCACGUAUUGACAUUAAGCUAGGUUCUUGUCAUUUUUGGUAGCUACACGGCAUUCCAUCAUAUCCGUAUAGGCUAUGGUCCUUUAUAAACCAUCAUUUUGAGUUGCAUAAGAAAGAAAACUAGCCUACACUAAUACUUUGUGUUAACUGUUUUCAAUAAUAAAAUAAUAUCUGCUGCUGCUUUGUAAAUUAAGUUUGAAAAAAUCAUAUAUUCUUAAUCUGGUUUACUCAUAUUUUCUUUUCUAAAACCGGGCCUGCUCAUUUUGUGUGUUUUCUAAGUGCCAUUUGUAUUUAAGUUUUUUAAAGUAUGCAACUAGGUCAAGGUAUAAAUAAUAUGAAGUAUGAAAUUAUUUUGCAUUGAAAACUGCAAAACCCACUUACUACUGAUUCAAAAUAUGUACAUAUUUAUGUUCCUGAUCAUUCUUUGUAAUUCAUCUCUUUGAUCAUGGCUAUUCUGCAUUUGAAUAUAUAAAAAGGGCUUUGAAACGUAUUAUUCUUUUCCGCCUUCCAUCUGAAAAACAGAGGGAAAGAGUCUUAAACAAAGGUGAAUACCUCCAAAGUUCAUUCAAUACUUCUCAAAACGUCUCAAGAUUUAUGUCUUUGGGAAAAUUAAGCUGUAAUCUAAUGAUCAUUUUGUGGUGUUUCAGUAUCUUACUUUUCUUGAAAUUCAUUACUAUAAGAAAAAGCAGAUUUAAAAAAUUUUUUCUAGUUCAUAUUUGAAUUAGGUAUUGAAUGGACUGCUUUGCAUCCAGAGAAAACUUUAAAGAGCAACACACUCAUAAAUUGAGCUUUUUAAUCAUUGUUAUUUUUGUAGUUCCUUCAUUUCAACAUUUGAAAAUCACUAACCAUGGAUGCUGUGUAGAACUAGGAGUAGAUCCCUUGCUCUAGGAAAAGCCACCUACCAUGGAUGCAAGGACCCCUGAAGACAGACCUAUGUGAAAAGAUUCUGAGGUCUCCUGCCAGCAGCCAGCACCAACUUGCCAUCCAUGUGAGUGAGCCACCUUAGAAGCAGAUCUGGUAGCCUCAGAAACUGUAACAGAUAAUAAAUAGUUGUUGCUUUAAACUGCUAAGUUUCAGAAUAAUAUGUUACACAGAAAUAGAUAUCUAAUAUAGAUGUUGCUACCUGGAAGUGAGAUUCAGCCAUAACAAAAUCCUAAGAUGCAUAAGUAACUUUGGAACUGGACAACAGACUUUGGGGAGAGUGUUAGUGAAAGCCUAAAGUACCUUGAAGAAACUGUUAAUAGAAGUAUCCCACUCUUUUAUAUGGCUACAGGUGAAGGCUCGCAGAAAAAUGAGGUAAUGUAAUUGGAAACUGGAGGAAAGGCAAUCCUUCUUAUAUAGUGGCAGAAAGUUCAGUAACACUGUUCCCUGCAGUAACCAAAAGGUAGAAAAUGUGUCUAAUGAAUUGGGUGAUCUAGCUAGGGAGAUUUCCAAGCAAAGGUUUCUUCUUGUUGCUUGUAGUAAAAUGUGAGAGGAGAGAGGUAAACUAAAGGAAGAACUGUUAACAGUUUAAACAAAAAGGAGACAGAAUUUGAUGGUUUUGAAAAUUCUCACCUUCUCUGAAUGGCAAACAAUGCUAAAAUUAAGAUGUAGCUUCUGAGCUACAAAUCCAGGGCACUGCUAGUAAAACAUGGUCCUAAGAUGAAGCCAAGGGAGUGAUUGUAAAAUCUUUUGUUACAGUCUCAGAAAGAUUUAAGGUUGUGCAUCAGAAUACUAUUUGGCCAGACAAAAAGUCCUCUAAAGAGAUUAAAGGUAUGUGUCACACAGUCUCUCAAUAAAAUGAUGAAGCACCUAGGAAGCUUAAGGACAUUGUCCAUCAGUUAUCUCACCAGAAGCCCAAGGUAGAGAAGAGCUUAUCUGAAAGAUAUUUGUAGGUGUGGCUUUCAUCUAAUGGAGUGGACCCAAUAACAUUCAUGGAAGGCUCAUAACAUUUAAAAAAUAAAUAUGUAUGAAGAAACAUUGCCAUCUUGGACCAAAAGGGAUAGAGAUAGUACAAAACGAAAAGAGGUCUUUGGAUCCUCAAAGUUCCACUGGCAAGAAGUAGGCUGAGAAAAGUUCUCAGUGGUAAACAUGGACUAUCUUUCAUUAAAAAAAAAAAAAAAAAAAGGGAGAGAGGGAGGAUGACUCAGGGGUCAGAUCCAAAACUCCAGAACAUGGAGCUGAGAGCCAGGGAGAAUUAUUCCCAGGAUUUGAGACUUAAUAAAGGAAUGUUCAACAUUUGUUCAGCUGGUUUUCAGAAUUAUAAUGGACCAGUGAUUCCUUUGUGCCCACCAUUUUCCCUCUUUUUGAACAGUUACCCUGUUACACCUGUCUCACCAUGGUGUGUUGGGUGUAUGGAGGGGCACAUAAGUUGUUGUUUUAGUUUCACAGAGGGAGAGGAACUGUACUCAAGGGGCUGUACUUAAGGAACUACACCCAAGGAGCCUCAGAUGUACCUGGACCUGAUUUAGAGGAUGAGAUGUUGGACUUUAAGCUAACGCUAUAAUGAGAUGAGACUUUUGGUGACUUCGGGAGGAAAUGAGUGUAUUUUGCAUGUGGGAGGGACAUGAAUCAUUGGAGACCAGAGGAUGGACUGUGGUAGCCAGCCUUCAAGAUAGCCCUUAAUUAUCCUUCCCUCCUCGUAUUCACACCCUUUUGUAGGCCCCUCCCACACUCUAUCACAGUUGGUCUGUGUGACCAAAAUGAUAUAGCAGAAAUGAUGGUAAGUUACUUCUGAGAAUAGGUUAUUAAAAAAACUGCACCUUC
This is a long non-coding RNA of Aethalodelphis obliquidens (Pacific white-sided dolphin), 3492 nucleotides long. RefSeq lists it as uncharacterized. The record is from RefSeq and is a predicted model, not a curated record. Lineage: Eukaryota; Metazoa; Chordata; Mammalia; Artiodactyla; Delphinidae. The transcript is spliced from 2 exons.